AACGAACGCUGGCGGCAGGCCUAACACAUGCAAGUCGAGCGAGGACUUCGGUUCUAGCGGCGGACGGGUGAGUAACGCGUGGGAAUGUGCCCUUCUCUACGGAAUAGCCCUGGGAAACUGGGAGUAAUACCGUAUACGCCCUAUUGGGGAAAGAUUUAUCGGAGAAGGAUCAGCCCGCGUUGGAUUAGGUAGUCGGUGGGGUAAUGGCCUACCAAGCCGACGAUCCAUAGCUGGUUUGAGAGGAUGAUCAGCCACACUGGGACUGAGACACGGCCCAGACUCCUACGGGAGGCAGCAGUGGGGAAUCUUAGACAAUGGGGGCAACCCUGAUCUAGCCAUGCCGCGUGAGUGAUGAAGGCCUUAGGGUUGUAAAGCUCUUUCAGCUGGGAAGAUAAUGACGGUACCAGCAGAAGAAGCCCCGGCUAACUCCGUG
This 433-nucleotide ribosomal RNA is filed under the name uncultured bacterium. RNAcentral's name for it is "partial 16S ribosomal RNA". It matches the Rfam family "Bacterial small subunit ribosomal RNA", at positions 29 to 507 of the family's 1533-position model. The record is from RNAcentral.